AGAGUUUGAUCCUGGCUCAGAACGAACGCUGGCGGCAGGCCUAACGCAUGCAAGUCGAGCGCUUCACUUCGGUGAGGAGCGGCGGACGGGUUAGUAACGCGUGGGAAUAUACCCUUCACUAUGGAAUAGCCUCGGGAAACUGAGAGUAAUACCAUAUACGCCCUUCGGGGGAAAGAUUUAUCGGUGAAGGAUUAGCCCGCGUAAGAUUAGAUAGUUGGUGGGGUAAUGGCCUACCAAGUCUACGAUCUUUAGCUGGUUUGAGAGGAUGAUCAGCAACACCGGGACUGAGACACGGCCCAGACUCCUACGGGAGGCAGCAGUGGGGAAUCUUAGACAAUGGGCGCAAGCCUGAUCUAGCCAUGCCGCGUGAGUGACGAAGGUCUUAGGAUCGUAAAGCUCUUUCGCCAGAGAUGAUAAUGACAGUAUCUGGUAAAGAAACCCCGGCUAACUCCGUGCCAGCAGCCGCGGUAAUACGGAGGGGGUUAGCGUUGUUCGGAAUUACUGGGCGUAAAGCGUACGUAGGCGGAUUGGAAAGUAGGGGGUGAAAUCCCAGGGCUCAACCCUGGAACUGCCUCCUAAACUAUCAGUCUAGAGUUCGAGAGAGGUGAGUGGAAUUCCAAGUGUAGAGGUGAAAUUCGUGGAUAUUUGGAGGAACACCAGUGGCGAAGGCGGCUCACUGGCUCGAUACUGACGCUGAGGUACGAAAGUGUGGGGAGCAAACAGGAUUAGAUACCCUGGUAGUCCACACCGUAAACGAUGAAUGCCAGUCGUCGGGGAGCUUGCUCUUCGGUGA
RNAcentral lists this ribosomal RNA (793 nucleotides) under uncultured Alphaproteobacteria bacterium. Its description in RNAcentral is "bacterial SSU rRNA". It matches the Rfam family "Bacterial small subunit ribosomal RNA", at positions 8 to 846 of the family's 1533-position model. The record is from RNAcentral. Lineage: Bacteria; Pseudomonadati; Pseudomonadota; Alphaproteobacteria.